GUCUAUGGCCAUACCACCCUGAACACGCCUGAUGUCGUCUGAUCUCAGAAGCUAAGCAGUGUCGGGUCUGGUUAGCACUUGGAUGGGAAAAUACAAGUCUUCUUUAGUCA
Molecule: ribosomal RNA, 110 nt
Filed under: Erinaceus europaeus (western European hedgehog)
Lineage: Eukaryota; Metazoa; Chordata; Mammalia; Eulipotyphla; Erinaceidae
Source: RNAcentral